GCGGCGCAUUAGCUAGUUGGUGAGGGUAACGGCUCACCAAGGCAAUGAUGCGUAGCCGACCUGAGAGGGUAAUCGGCCACAUUGGGACUGAGACACGGCCCAAACUCCUACGGGAGGCAGCAGUAGGGAAUCUUCCACAAUGGACGAAAGUCUGAUGGAGCAACGCCGCGUGAGUGAAGAAGGGUUUCGGCUCGUAAAACUCUGUUGUUAAAGAAGAACAUGUCUGAGAGUAACUGUUCACCCAUUGACGGUAUUUAACCAGAAAGCCACGGCUAACUACGUGCCAGCAGCCGCGGUAAUACGUAGGUGGCAAGCGUUAUCCGGAUUUAUUGGGCGUAAAGCGAGCGCAGGCGGUUUUUUAAGUCUGAUGUGAAAGCCUUCGGCUCAACCGAAGAAGUGCAUUGGAAACUGGGAGACUUGAGUGCAGAAGAGGACAGUGGAACUCC
This 446-nucleotide ribosomal RNA is filed under the name Pediococcus acidilactici. RNAcentral's name for it is "bacterial SSU rRNA". It matches the Rfam family "Bacterial small subunit ribosomal RNA", at positions 233 to 670 of the family's 1533-position model. Lineage: Bacteria; Bacillati; Bacillota; Bacilli; Lactobacillales; Lactobacillaceae. The record is from RNAcentral.